Molecule: long non-coding RNA, 420 nt
Organism: Mesocricetus auratus (golden hamster)
Lineage: Eukaryota; Metazoa; Chordata; Mammalia; Rodentia; Cricetidae
Exons: 3
Source: RefSeq, a predicted model, not a curated record
GGUGCGAGUCUAAUUCUCUUUUAAGCUAAUUCAAUCUUGUGUAGAUCUGGGUGGCCUUGGACUCACAGAGAUCCCUCUAUCUCUUAAUCCCAAAUCCUAGGAUUAAAGGUGUGUAUUGCCACCUCUGAGCUUCUGGCUGCUGGGAUUAAAGUCCUUUCCCAGAGGGAUGUGUGAAGAAUGGGUCCCCACAUUUGUCAUCCUAACCCGGUCCCAGGCUUCAGAGUCCAAGUCAAGGUGCUGGCUGAUUCGGUGCUCGGUGAAGAUCACUUUGUGGUUCGCAGAUAGCAUCUUCCCACUGUGUCCCCAGAUGGCAGAAGGGCCAAGGAUGCUCUCCAGGGUUUCUUUUAUAAAGGACACUAAUCGAAAUCGUGAAGGCUCUACCUUCAUGACUUUGUCAUCUUCCAUGAGCCCCAAAUUCAA